CUGAUGAGGGAGUAGGAGGAUUCAGAGUUAAGACCUCUUCUAAACGGAAACCUAAGCCCUGAUCAUAUUUUACUAAGGUUCUUAAAGGCUUGUGUAAGGCAUAGAUGGUUUAAUUGGUUCAUCUAUCUCUAACACCCCUGACUUUUAUUACAAUCAAUAUAUCACUGUCAUGCAUUUGUUGAUCGUCUUGUACUCUUGUUCACAGAUAUAUCUUAUGAAUAUUUAUGCACUGUAUAUAAACGUUAGUGCCGGGGGUAUGGCUAGGUCGAGCCAUUGAGCCUAUUACGAAGAAAUUAAUGAUCCAGGCUAUUGGUUUUUGCUUUGCAUUCUGUCUAUAUAAGUUGUUUAUGCUAGUUUUGUAGUGGGGUUUAUAGAUUUUUGAUAUGGGGUUUUAAUUUUCCUUGAUUUUCUAGCUGUUUUUAGCCCCCCUUUGACCAUCAUAUAGUUUUAGUUUAUGUUUGUUUUUCUUGCAAUAAACUCUCUUUGUUGUUGCUGAAAGUCUAUUUGUAUUGUUUGAAGGCUGAGAAAAACAGUAUUUACUUAUGUCGAAUUACUACUCUCGAGCAGGAUUCAGCCUAUUACCUAGUGUUAUUGGAAAAGUAUAUCAGCAGUAGAAAGGCCAUGCCAUCUUGUUAAUCUUGGAAACCCAUAACAAAUCAAUAUCACCAUUGACUAUCUGUUUGAAAGGUGUAGCCAUGAAUUGUCUGUAUAUUUCUACUUUUUGAGCUUAAUGCAGUUGUGCAUUGUGUAUUUAUUCUUUUUCACAGCGAACCUUGGUGUAACAUUCACUGUAUAUAUAUAUCCUGGAUGAAUUUUCAAUCCUCGUGUAGAUAUCGUGGUUCCCCAGUGUCUUGUCCUAGCAUUUAGAUGUCCCAGCAAAAACAGUGCAGCAUCUGCAGCCACCACUACAGCCAUCAAAUAUUGUUCUUAUGGAUAAACCUUCAGGGAAAUUAGCUUCUGUUUCUUGCUGCUCUUGAAGUUAUCUGGUUCUUUCCUUCCAUUAUUAAAUUGCAACUGUAUGAUCUUUCUUCCAGUAUGCUCAAACCUUACUCUGGAGCCUGUACAAAACUAUUUAUGUUUCUUUCAUGUUGUAUAUCCUCUUAAC
Daucus carota subsp. sativus is the source of this 1105-nucleotide long non-coding RNA. RefSeq lists it as uncharacterized. The transcript is spliced from 2 exons. The record is from RefSeq and is a predicted model, not a curated record. NCBI's taxonomy places the organism in Eukaryota, Viridiplantae, Streptophyta, Magnoliopsida, Apiales, Apiaceae.